Molecule: long non-coding RNA, 459 nt
Organism: Perca flavescens (yellow perch)
Lineage: Eukaryota; Metazoa; Chordata; Actinopteri; Perciformes; Percidae
Exons: 3
Source: RefSeq, a predicted model, not a curated record
GCUGAGCCUCUCUGGGUGUUUCCUUGUUUAUAUUCUUGUUUUAGUUUACUUGCACUUUCCAGAGUUUGUGACACAGCUUUUUCUCUCCGUGUGGAGCUCAAGCUGAAGGACGCAUAAGAGAACAGACCCUGCUGAACCUGGACCUGAACCUGAACCUGAACCCAGUUGUGUCCAUGGAGACACUGCUACUUAAAAAAAGACCUGUAAGGCGACUUGAAAUGGAGGAGAGGCUGCUUGAAAUGGAGGAAAGGCAACUUAAAAUGGAGGAGAGGCAACUUGAAAUGGAGGAGAGAGGAUUGAUGGAGAGACUUGAAUGGCAGAAGGAGAGAAUAGCAAUGGAAAGGGAAAUUGAAAUGUUAAGAAGAAGAUUGAGGACCCAUCCAAAACCAGAGUCUCCUGAACCUGAACCUGGACCUAUACCUAAACGUGAACCUGAACCUGGACCUGGACCUGGACCUG